Non-coding RNA from Mycena vitilis, 95 nucleotides. The record is from the annotation of a GenBank genome assembly. Lineage: Eukaryota; Fungi; Basidiomycota; Agaricomycetes; Agaricales; Mycenaceae.
GGCGUCAUAGCUCAGUUGGGAGAGCAGCAGACUGAAGUGUUGUUGUUUGUCUGAUUUUAAUCUGAAGGUCCCGUGUUCAAGCCACGGUGAUGCCA